GUGAAAUCCGGAGGCUCAACCUCCGGCCUGCAGUGGGUACGGGCAGACUAGAGUGCGGUAGGGGAGAUUGGAAUUCCUGGUGUAGCGGUGGAAUGCGCAGAUAUCAGGAGGAACACCGAUGGCGAAGGCAGAUCUCUGGGCCGUAACUGACGCUGAGGAGCGAAAGGGUGGGGAGCAAACAGGCUUAGAUACCCUGGUAGUCCACCCCGUAAACGUUGGGAACUAGUUGUGGGGUCCAUUCCACGGAUUCCGUGACGCAGCUAACGCAUUAAGUUCCCCGCCUGGGGAGUACGGCCGCAAGGCUAAAACUCAAAGGAAUUGACGGGGACCCGCACAAGCGGCGGAGCAUGCGGAUUAAUUCGAUGCAACGCGAAGAACCUUACCAAGGCUUGACAUAUACGAGAACGGGCCAGAAAUGGUCAACUCUUUGGACACUCGUAAACAGGUGGUGCAUGGUUGUCGUCAGCUCGUGUCGUGAGAUGUUGGGUUAAGUCCCGCAACGAGCGCAACCCUCGUUCUAUGUUGCCAGCACGUAAUGGUGGGAACUCAUGGGAUACUGCCGGGGUCAACUCGGAGGAAGGUGGGGAUGACGUCAAAUCAUCAUGCCCCUUAUGUCUUGGGCUUCACGCAUGCUACAAUGGCCGGUACAAAGGGCUGCAAUACCGCGAGGUGGAGCGAAUCCCAAAAAGCCGGUCCCAGUUCGGAUUGAGGUCUGCAACUCGACCUCAUGAAGUCGGAGUCGCUAGUAAUCGCAGAUCAGCAACGCUGCGGUGAAUACGUUCCCGGGUCUUGUACACACCGCCCGUCAAGUCAUGAAAGUCGGUAACACCUGAAGCCGGUGGCCUAACCCUUGUGGAGGGAGC
This 863-nucleotide ribosomal RNA is filed under the name bacterium. RNAcentral's name for it is "bacterial SSU rRNA". It matches the Rfam family "Bacterial small subunit ribosomal RNA", at positions 594 to 1453 of the family's 1533-position model. The record is from RNAcentral.